RNAcentral lists this transfer RNA (64 nucleotides) under Paragavialidium hainanense. RNAcentral describes it as "tRNA-Glu". Lineage: Eukaryota; Metazoa; Arthropoda; Insecta; Orthoptera; Tetrigidae. The record is from RNAcentral.
AUUUAUGUAGUUUAUAAAAAACAUUACAUUUUCAUUGUAAAAAUAAUAAUUAUAUUCUUAAAUA